GCGCUCAUAGCUCAGCUGGAUAGAGCACUUGGCUACGAACUAAGGGGUCGGGAGUUCGAAUCUCUCUGAGCCUG
RNAcentral lists this transfer RNA (74 nucleotides) under Acinetobacter baumannii. RNAcentral describes it as "tRNA-Arg". It matches the Rfam family "tRNA". From Rfam's summary of the family: Transfer RNA (tRNA) molecules are approximately 80 nucleotides in length. Their secondary structure includes four short double-helical elements and three loops (D, anti-codon, and T loops). The record is from RNAcentral. Lineage: Bacteria; Pseudomonadati; Pseudomonadota; Gammaproteobacteria; Moraxellales; Moraxellaceae.